RNAcentral lists this ribosomal RNA (470 nucleotides) under uncultured bacterium. Its description in RNAcentral is "SSU rRNA". It matches the Rfam family "Bacterial small subunit ribosomal RNA", at positions 26 to 523 of the family's 1533-position model. The record is from RNAcentral.
AGGACGAACGCUGGCGGUGUGCUUCACACAUGCAAGUCGAACGGGGUAGCAAUACCCAGUGGCGGACGGGUGAGUAACGCGUAGAAAUCUGCCUUGAGAUGGGGGAUAACAGUCCGAAAGGAUUGCUAAUACCGCAUAUGUAUAUAUCCGGACACGGGUGUAUAUGAAAGGAGUAAUCCGUCUUAAGAUGAGUCUGCGUCCGAUUAGCUAGUUGGUAGGGUAAAGGCCUACCAAGGCGACGAUCGGUAGCUGGUCUGAGAGGAUGAUCAGCCACAAUGGGACUGAGACACGGCCCAUACUCCUACGGGAGGCAGCAGUGGGGAAUUUUGUGCAAUGGGGGAAACCCUGACACAGCGACACCGCGUGAGCGAAGAAGCCCUUGGGGUGUAAAGCUCUGUCGGCUGGAACGAAAAAAAUGACGGUACCAGCAAAGGAAGCAUCGGCUAACUACGUGCCAGCAGCCGCGGUAA